RNAcentral lists this ribosomal RNA (426 nucleotides) under uncultured bacterium. RNAcentral's name for it is "partial 16S ribosomal RNA". It matches the Rfam family "Bacterial small subunit ribosomal RNA", at positions 354 to 796 of the family's 1533-position model. The record is from RNAcentral.
GUGAGGAAUUUUCCGCAAUGGGCGAAAGCCUGACGGAGCAAUGCCGCGUGAAGGAUGAAGGCCUAUGGGUUGUAAACUUCUUUUCUUAGAGAAGAAUAUUGACGGUAUCUGAGGAAUAAGCCCCGGCUAACUUCGUGCCAGCAGCCGCGGUAAUACGAAGGGGGCGAGCGUUAUUCGGAAUCACUGGGCGUAAAGCGUGCGUAGGCUGUUUUGUAAGUCAGAAGUGAAAGCCCAGGGCUUAACCCUGGAAUUGCUUUUGAAACUACAAGACUCGAAUUCGGGAGAGGAUAGCGGAAUUGUCAGUGUAGCAGUGAAAUGCGUAGAUAUUGACAGGAACACCAGUGGCGCAAGCGGCUAUCUGGACCGAUAUUGACGCUGAGGCACGAAAGCGUGGGGAGCAAACAGGAUUAGAUACCCCAGUAGUCC